Molecule: long non-coding RNA, 941 nt
Filed under: Homo sapiens (human)
Lineage: Eukaryota; Metazoa; Chordata; Mammalia; Primates; Hominidae
Description: HSALNT0310469
Source: RNAcentral
GUUUUGUUUGUUUCCCUUGGAUAAAAGUGACUCCGAUUUUUAAUGGCUCCUCUCAAAGAUUAACAUCUCUUCACUAAAUACAGAAGAAUUCCAUAUGUAAUGAAUUUCCAGCCUCCAUGAAAACAAAAUGGACUCUUUCAUGCUGUCUCAACAUAUGAAUACAUUGCUCUGUCACCUGGGUGUUAUUACCGACUUAAAUCUGAAAGAAGCUGGGCACGGCAGUGGUGUGUGGGUGCCUGCAGUCCUGAGGAGCUGGGACUGUUUCCCGAACAAUGCCUUUCCACCACACACGGUGGUUGUGAGGGCCAGCUGAGGCAAAGCCCUCAGGAAGACCACUCAAGCCCAGGAGUCCAGCCUGCGCAAGACACUUUUUUUAGGCUUCUGUCACCACAAAAUGUUACUUGGAAAACUAGAUCCCAGCAGAUGACCUGUACUUCUCUGCUCUCUCCCCUACUGCAAAGAGGCAGUGAGGGCAGCAUUAGUAAGCCUGACUCAGGGGAAGGUAAGUGGCCUGCAGAGAAAUGGUCCUAGGUCCGCAACCGAGGCGAGUGAACUUGUCGGACAGAUGAAGACUCUAACUGGAAGAAACGAUCAGCGCAUUCACGGAUGCACCACCAUCCAGAAAUCUCCCGGUGGCUUCCAUACAAAAACUGAUGUUUCUAAAGAUGGAAAGAACAGGUCUAGGAGGCAGAAGAGUAUCUCCUAGCAAAGUGUUCUGUAGCUCAAAGGGCAGUCAGGAGCACGUCUUUGAAUUCCUCGCAGACGAUGUAUCCAUCAGUCCUGUGGGGACACAACGCGAUGUCAACCCUCGAACCUGCUGCCUGCUCUGCCUCUCCUCCCUCCCCAGUUUGUGGAAGACAGUGGGCCACAUCUGAGCACUAGGGGUCCUGAAGGAUGUCGCGGGUCAGCCAGUGUCCCACAUCCUCCGUGCAGAAGGCAGG